AUUGAACGCUGGCGGCAUGCCUUACACAUGCAAGUCGAACGGCAGCGCGGGGCAACCUGGCGGCGAGUGGCGAACGGGUGAGUAAUAUAUCGGAACGUACCCUGGAGUGGGGAGUAACGUAGCGAAAGUUACGCUAAUACCGCAUACGAUCUAAGGAUGAAAGUAGGGGGAGUGCGCAAGCACCUCAUGCUCCUGGAGCGGCCGAUAUCUGAUUAGCUAGUGGUUGGGGUAAAGGGCCUACCAAGGCAUCGAUCAGUAGCUGGUCUGAGAGGACGACCAGCCACACUGGAACUGAGACACGGUCCAGACUCCUACGGGAGGCAGCAGUGGGGAAUUUUGGACAAUGGGCGAAAGCCUGAUCCAGCAAUGCCGCGUGAGUGAAGAAGG
This 387-nucleotide ribosomal RNA is filed under the name uncultured bacterium. RNAcentral's name for it is "bacterial SSU rRNA". It matches the Rfam family "Bacterial small subunit ribosomal RNA", at positions 30 to 414 of the family's 1533-position model. The record is from RNAcentral.